Molecule: transfer RNA, 72 nt
Filed under: Actinomycetota bacterium
Lineage: Bacteria; Bacillati; Actinomycetota
Also listed under: 1 other name
Description: tRNA-Val
Rfam family: tRNA
About the family: Transfer RNA (tRNA) molecules are approximately 80 nucleotides in length. Their secondary structure includes four short double-helical elements and three loops (D, anti-codon, and T loops). Further hydrogen bonds mediate the characteristic L-shaped molecular structure. tRNAs have two regions of fundamental functional importance: the anti-codon, which is responsible for specific mRNA codon recognition, and the 3' end, to which the tRNAs corresponding amino acid is attached (by aminoacyl-tRNA synthetases). tRNAs cope with the degeneracy of the genetic code in two manners: having more than one tRNA (with a specific anti-codon) for a particular amino acid; and 'wobble' base-pairing, i.e. permitting non-standard base-pairing at the 3rd anti-codon position.
Source: RNAcentral
GGGCGCGUAGCUCAGCGGGAGAGCACCCGCCUUACAAGCGGGCGGUCGCUGGUUCGAUCCCAGCCGCGCCCA